This 21-nucleotide non-coding RNA is filed under the name Caenorhabditis elegans. The record is from RNAcentral. Lineage: Eukaryota; Metazoa; Nematoda; Chromadorea; Rhabditida; Rhabditidae.
UACAUGAGGGAGAUCUUUUUU